This 238-nucleotide ribosomal RNA is filed under the name uncultured Lactobacillus sp. RNAcentral describes it as "partial 16S ribosomal RNA". It matches the Rfam family "Bacterial small subunit ribosomal RNA", at positions 124 to 355 of the family's 1533-position model. Lineage: Bacteria; Bacillati; Bacillota; Bacilli; Lactobacillales; Lactobacillaceae. The record is from RNAcentral.
ACCUGCCCUUAAGUCUGGGAUACCAUUUGGAAACAGAUGCUAAUACCGGAUAACAACAGAUGAUGCCUAUCAACUGUUUAAAAGAUGGUUCUGCUAUCACUCUUGGAUGGACCUGCGGUGCAUUAGCUAGUUGGUAGGGUAACGGCCUACCAAGGCGAUGAUGCAUAGCCGAGUUGAGAGACUGAUCGGCCACAUUGGGACUGAGACACGGCCCAAACUCCUACGGGAGGCAGCAGCU